GCUUAAUACAUGCAAGUCGAACGGUAAGGUCUCUUCGGAGAUACACGAGUGGCGCACGGGUGAGGAACACGUACACAAUCUACCUUAUACAGGAGGAUAGCCCCGGGAAACUGGGAUUAAUACUCCAUAGUCUUCUAAGAUCGCAUGGUCUAAGAAGUAAAGCUCCGGCGGUAUAAGAUGAGUGUGCGUCCCAUUAGAUUGUUGGUGAGGUAACGGCUCACCAAGUCGACGAUGGGUAGCUGGCGUGAGAGCGCGACCAGCCACACUGGCACUGAGGCACGGGCCAGACUCCUACGGGAGGCAGCAGUAGGGAAUAUUGGUCAAUGGGCGAAAGCCUGAACCAGCCAUGCCGCGUGGAGGAUGACUGCCCUCAGGGUUGUAAACUCCUUUUAUAUGGGAAGAAACCCCCGGAUUCACUCUGGGGCUGACGGUACCAUACGAAUAAGCACCGGCUAACUCCGUGCCAGCAGCCGCGGUAAUACGGAGGGGUGCAAGCGUUAUCCG
This 504-nucleotide ribosomal RNA is filed under the name uncultured bacterium. Its description in RNAcentral is "bacterial SSU rRNA". It matches the Rfam family "Bacterial small subunit ribosomal RNA", at positions 46 to 547 of the family's 1533-position model. The record is from RNAcentral.